Arachis ipaensis is the source of this 1411-nucleotide non-coding RNA. NCBI's taxonomy places the organism in Eukaryota, Viridiplantae, Streptophyta, Magnoliopsida, Fabales, Fabaceae. The record is from RefSeq and is a predicted model, not a curated record.
CGAGCUCGCGUCGUCUGCGCCGUCACCCCCUGCCCGUGUCGCCGUUGUGCCCUGCUACCGUUGAGGGAAGUUGCCACCACGGUUGGAAUCGCGAACUGAGGAGGAAGUCGUUGAUUCUGUCACCGGUACCAUGUCUCGUCACCGUUGCUACCACCAGAGGAAACCACUGUCACUAACGCAAGGAACAAAACUCGAAGAGGGAGGCAGUGGAGGGUGAUGCUGCUGUCAUCGUCGCUGUGGAGGUGAACCAACGUCGUGUCUUUGCUUCCCAGAACCACCGUUGCUGCUGCCAUCAUCCCCUAGCUUGGUUGUCAUCGCUACUGGAAACUCUGAUUGCUAUUGUUGCCUGUUAGAGAGAUGAAUUGUUCUGUGAAGAGAGGGCUGCCGGGGUUGCUACUGCUGGUUCUGAUUCUGUUACAUUGAUUCUGAAGCAGACGGAACCAGCAUCUGCUCUCUUGAGUGGUGGUGGUGGUGAGUUUGCGCUUGUUCUUGACACCAGUGGUGAUAAGCUUCCUAAUACAUUCAACUUGGCGUACAAGAGUGUUCCUGUGCAUGAUGUAACUGUAGGAUCAUAUAUCCUUGUUGGUGCUGGUGAGGUAAGUUAUGAUAGAAUCUACUGUUUACCUGUCUUCCAUUAAUUUUUAAGUUUGAAUUGGUUGAAUAUAAUUAUACCUGCAACCAACGGCUGGAGUUCUUUAGAAUUUCUGGGGUUUUACUCAUAGAGAACAGUAAUUCUAUUAGUCCCUUGCAAUUUCUUGUCUCGCUAUUCUCUGUUUUAAAGACUUUAAUCAGACAAGAGAGAGAUAGUAAAGAAAAAUAUAUUUUCCUAUAUAUAGAGGGACAAAUUAAUAACAAGUAUUCAAGUAAUGACUUAUUAUGCCACUCUCACGGGUUUGAAAUUAGAAUUUUAUGAUGGUGGACUGGUGGUUGUUGUUGUUGUUGUAGUAUUUGUUGCUGAACCAUGCUCUGCAAAGUGUCUUGUUUUCAAUGUUGCAAGUCUCAUUUAAUUUGAGUUGAACCGUUUGGUUAUGUUGCCUGUGUGAUUUUCUCACAUGUUUGUGCUAACUGAACAAUUUGAAACUAUAGGUACUAGAGACAGUAAAGCUCAAAUUUUCUAGACAAUUUUUUAGAAUUGCAUUAAUUGACAUCAUAUUGUUAUUGCUGGUCGUUUUUUCAUGUGUGUGGCACUUAUUAGAAGCUUCUCCAUAAGAAAGAAGAUGUAUGAACAUGAUGGAGUUUGAAAUUUGUAGUUUGUAUUUUGGAGAUUUAUAAUUCAUUGUUUUUCUUGUCCUAUGUAUCUAUCUAGUUCAUUAGGGUUCUUCAAUGUGUCUUGUUAGUUUGUACUUUAAAGUUUAUAUGUUGAAGAUUUAUAAAACAAUAUUAGUUAAAUGAAAGAUAUUUGAACUAUCUA